UAGGGAAUCUUCCGCAAUGGACGAAAGUCUGACGGAGCAACGCCGCGUGAGCGAAGAAGGCCUUCGGGUCGUAAAGCUCUGUUGUUAGGGAAGAACAAGUAUCGGAGUAACUGCCGGUACCUUGACGGUACCUAACCAGAAAGCCACGGCUAACUACGUGCCAGCAGCCGCGGUAAUACGUAGGUGGCAAGCGUUGUCCGGAAUUAUUGGGCGUAAAGCGCGCGCAGGCGGUCCUUUAAGUCUGAUGUGAAAGCCCACGGCUCAACCGUGGAGGGUCAUUGGAAACUGGGGGACUUGGGUGCAGAAGAGGAGAGUGGAAUUCCACGUGUAGCGGUGAAAUGCGUAGAGAUGUGGAGGAACACCAGUGGCGAAGGCGACUCUCUGGUCUGUAACUGACGCUGAGGCGCGAAAGCGUGGGGAGCAAACAGGAUUAGAUACCCUGGUAGUCCACGCCGUAAACGAUGAGUGCUAAGUGUUAGAGGGUUUCCGCCCUUUAG
Molecule: ribosomal RNA, 497 nt
Filed under: uncultured Bacillota bacterium
Lineage: Bacteria; Bacillati; Bacillota
Description: bacterial SSU rRNA
Rfam family: Bacterial small subunit ribosomal RNA
Source: RNAcentral